This 325-nucleotide ribosomal RNA is filed under the name uncultured eukaryote. RNAcentral describes it as "partial 18S ribosomal RNA". It matches the Rfam family "Eukaryotic small subunit ribosomal RNA", at positions 1470 to 1796 of the family's 1831-position model. The record is from RNAcentral.
CCCUUCGAUGUUCUGGGCUGCACGCGCGCUACACUGAUGCGUUCAACGAGUGUACAACCUUGCCCGAUAGGGUUGGGUAACCUUUUGAACACGCAUCGUGAUGGGGAUAGAUUAUUGCAAUUAUUAAUCUUCAACGAGGAAUUCCUAGUAAUGGCGAAUCAUCAGUUCGUCGUGAUUACGUCCCUGCCCUUUGUACACACCGCCCGUCGCUCCUACCGAUUGAGCAAUCCGGUGAAUAUUUCGGACCGAAUAUCUGCGGGGCAACCCAUGGACGUUUGGAAGGUCAAGUAAACCUUAUUGCUUAGAGGAAGGAGAANUCGUANCA